GCUGACCGGUACUAAUCAGCCGACAACUUCACAACACAACACCUUUUGCAUGCACGCGUCCACUGUGCGGUUCCCGAGAAACGGGCACCACCAACCCCCCACCACACACCCCUUGGGGUGCGUGAGCUGCGGGGGGCCAGCCCGACAACUCGAUACUGUUACGGCGGUCACAGCGAAGGGGAAACGCCCGGUCCCAUUCCGAACCCGGAAGCUAAGCCCUUCAGCGCCGAUGGUACUGCCCUGGAGACGGGGUGGGAGAGUAGGACGCCGCCGAAC
Molecule: ribosomal RNA, 276 nt
Filed under: Cellulomonas sp. PhB143
Lineage: Bacteria; Bacillati; Actinomycetota; Actinomycetes; Micrococcales; Cellulomonadaceae
Source: RNAcentral